GAGGGUAUAGCUCAGUGGUAGAGUGUGUGCCUAGCAUGCAUGAGGUCCUAGGUUCAAUCCCCAGUACCACCA
This 72-nucleotide transfer RNA is filed under the name Camelus bactrianus (Bactrian camel). It matches the Rfam family "tRNA". Rfam says of the family: Transfer RNA (tRNA) molecules are approximately 80 nucleotides in length. Their secondary structure includes four short double-helical elements and three loops (D, anti-codon, and T loops). Further hydrogen bonds mediate the characteristic L-shaped molecular structure. tRNAs have two regions of fundamental functional importance: the anti-codon, which is responsible for specific mRNA codon recognition, and the 3' end, to which the tRNAs corresponding amino acid is attached (by aminoacyl-tRNA synthetases). tRNAs cope with the degeneracy of the genetic code in two manners: having more than one tRNA (with a specific anti-codon) for a particular amino acid; and 'wobble' base-pairing, i.e. permitting non-standard base-pairing at the 3rd anti-codon position. RNAcentral also lists the same sequence under 2 other names. Lineage: Eukaryota; Metazoa; Chordata; Mammalia; Artiodactyla; Camelidae. The record is from Rfam by way of RNAcentral.